CACAGCCAACUUUUUAUUUUUCUAUUCAUCAACAAUCCACAGCAUCAUUAAACAGGGUGAUUAAAGAAAACAUACAAAGUUCAAGUGGAUAUUUUUUUUUCUUUUUUGCUUGAAAAUAGGUGAGCUGGUAUCAAUUUAAUGUGGAUAAAAUAAAUACAAUCCAUAAUAAAAACAAAAUUGGAAGAAGGGAAAAAAAGAUACAAAAUCAAAGUGUGUUUCAAAAACGUGGAACAUGACAUCUGACUUCUUUUUCACUUAGAGAACAAGCUAUGUGCUUUCACAUGUGCAGGUCACUAUAGAAUAUCAACCUUAACUUAUACCCCCAAAAUGAAAACAAACACCAACAAAAAUAAAACCCCACAAUUACACCUAGACUCAGACAAUAUUUUUUCUUCUUCUAAAAAAGAGACAGACAUGGAAGAAUAACUGCAUUCUUUCACAAAUUUAGCUUAAUCUCAAGGAUUAAGUACCUUAGGAGCUGUCAUUUGGGCAUUUCCUGCUCAUGCUCAUUUUAGUAUAAACAAACAUGGUUUGUGUUGUGUAAUAUAUAUUUGAAGAGUUUCUUUAAAAAGAAUCACGUUUCAUUUCAUAUAUACAUAUAUAUAUAUGAAACAUACACACACACACACACACACAAACAACCAAUUAUGUACUUAAAAUAAAUUACAGGAAAUAACUUUAAAAUGCAAUGGAAGACAAAAGUUUCACAAACAUUCCCAAUGAAUUCCCAGGGAAGGGGAGGAAGGGGUGGUGGUAAUGUGAAAAUGCAGUGCUCAAGGCAGGUAAAUAUCACAAAUAUAUCAAAAACUUCAAAUUGUUUAUGCAUUCACACAUUUACAUGAGCCACAAACAUUCCUUUACAUAAACCAUACUUAGCCUACUACAGAACCAGAUUUUGCCAUAAACUACAAAACUUUUAAUACAAAAUCGUAUUUAUAUAUUUAUAAUUCAUAUACAUGCCCUAUCUGUGAUUUUAGAAAAUAAGCUACACACUGUAUAGACAAUCCUAACUCAUUGCUGUAGGCAACAUUUUUGGCUGGAAUUCUCCCAAUAAAAUUAAUGGCAUAUUUUAUAUACACAAAGGCUAAACUGCAGAAGAGACAGUUCCAUUUCCCAGUUAUGCAUCUCCUUUUAGGGCAGGUCUAUGCAAUUUAAGAAGGCAUGACAAAUGUACACUCCAAAAUCA
RNAcentral lists this long non-coding RNA (1186 nucleotides) under Sarcophilus harrisii (Tasmanian devil). RNAcentral describes it as "lncRNA (ENSSHAG00000023772.1)". The record is from RNAcentral. Lineage: Eukaryota; Metazoa; Chordata; Mammalia; Dasyuromorphia; Dasyuridae.